RNAcentral lists this ribosomal RNA (253 nucleotides) under uncultured bacterium. RNAcentral describes it as "partial 16S ribosomal RNA". It matches the Rfam family "Bacterial small subunit ribosomal RNA", at positions 524 to 776 of the family's 1533-position model. The record is from RNAcentral.
UACGAAGGGGGCUAGCGUUGCUCGGAAUUACUGGGCGUAAAGCGCACGUAGGCGGCUUUCUAAGUCGGGGGUGAAAUCCUGGAGCUCAACUCCAGAACUGCCUUCGAUACUGGAAAGCUCGAGUCCGGGAGAGGUGAGUGGAACUGCGAGUGUAGAGGUGAAAUUCGUAGAUAUUCGCAAGAACACCAGUGGCGAAGGCGGCUCACUGGCCCGGUAUUGACGCUGAGGUGCGAAAGCGUGGGGAGCAAACAGG